GUAAGUACAGAGCUGGCUGGGAGGGCGCCGUUGGGUAAGGCAGCACGGGAGGACACCUGGAGUGGCCUUGUCAGGUCUCCCGAUGGCUUAGAAGGGUCUCCAUGGGGAGCCAUGCUACCUGAUAGACAGUCCACACUCCAUAAGUCUGCCUCUUUUCUCUGAUCCCUUCUCCCCUCUGUCUACAAACCCUUCCUGAUGCCCGGGUCAUGCAAUUAAAUACUAUUUUUAAAACCAAGUUUUAUCUACGCUCCCUGUGGGUUAUCUCAGCUCCUACAGAGGCUCAGGAAACUGUGACGGCACGAUCGUCACACUGACUUGACAGGAGGCAGCCUGGGAAGUCAUGAUGGAAGAGGCUGCUCUCUUCCUGGCCUGGCCCCUCUUGGGGGUUCAGUGCUCGUCUCUGAAGUCACUGAGGUUUUUGUUGCAGUUUCCCUACGGUAUAGAGCGUGCCCUACAUCGCAGGGCUGGGCUAAGACGGAUUUCUGGCUUUCUUUUCUCAAAAAAUCAUGCUCAUUCAGGCACUGGCGAAUAUAGGUUCUGGUACUGAAGAUGAGCUGUCUGUUAAACUCUGAAUAGGGCUAUUCUCUCUGCAAUUAGAGACUUUUGGCUCAAACAAGAUCUUUUCUGGGAAGCCAUAAGCCUGUAUUCUGAUAUUUCAACAUUUCACCCCUCAUCCUCCCCACCAGCCCUCACUAGGGUUCAUAUCGUCCUAGAAAUGGAACACCACCACAAAGCAGUCACCCACAUGGAUUCUCCCACUUUGCAGGCUUAAGAUAAUGAAGUCAAACACACAUACACAGGCUCCAAAUACCUUUGGUAGAGCUUUACACCCAUAUGUGUGAAGGGCCAUUUCCAAACGGAAUAAUAACUGGAAGGCACGACUAAACCACUGGAAUAAAAUCCCCCUUUGGAUUAGGUAUCAGCAAAGUAAAUUAGUAACAUCUGAGCGCCUGUUAAGACUAGAGAUUCGCCGUUUGCUGGGACUGGCGUUUAUUUCAUUAUUGAAAAGGAAGGGAAAAAACAGAAGGAAUCAAGUCAGCUGUACUGAGUGUCGAUGACACACGUGCCUCCCAUUUUUGAAGCUCUUCUCCCUGGCGCCUCAGUGUACUGUCUGAGCUGCCCCUGGGCUACAACCGUGAUUAAGAGGAGAGGUCUCUCUUUUGAAGGGGUUGGUGGUCUCUUGAGCUGAGGAAGUGGAACACGGGCUCCCUAGCCUCCUUCGUGACUUUGAUCACCAAGUCCCCCGUUACGUUGGAAGAUUAAAGGCAUGUGGACGCCUGGGGGAGGGCAGCCUGGAGGUGACAUUCAAAAGCUCGAUUAGUCUUCUGCGGAUCAGUUGUCUACAGGCUUCCAGAACAGCCCUCCAGACCACAUUUUAGGACACGGCUGCCAGCAGCUGCUGUCUUGACCUGACCAGGAAGUUGCUGCUCCCCUCUGACUCCAGGACCACCCACCCCUGCCAUGGUCUGCACCAGCAAAAUGGACACCUUGCAUCCUACCCCUCUUCCCACGCAACUCAGAGCCUCGGUCUCCUCAUUUAUAAACUGAGUGGCAUCCACCUCCAGGUCAUAUGUAAUACAUUUCACAGCUGGUGUGUCAUAGGCACAGGACAGUGAGGAUGGCCGUAGAUUGUAAAUCGCUCAUUAGGACUUACUGGUGCCAACCAGCUGAAUACCAACCCUCCUGGCAGUAUCACCAGAAAUGCCAAGUGGCAAGGGUUAUCUGGAUGGUCCCGGGUGCAUAGAGCAUGAGUGGUUUGACUGAGAUUACACAGGCCAGUGGUUAGAAUGUGGUGAGAAUUCCAUGAACACCCCCAAGACCUUUAGAGAGAGAAUGCUCUUGCAGAUUUGGAGGAGAAACCCAGGAUGCAUCUGGACCAUCCACCUGAGUGCAAUGCUCCCACACAAGGAGGACGGCUGGGCAAGGAGCUGAGCGCUCAGUCAAGGAUGAUGCUGCUCCAUUGCUCCCCUCUUGUUCUGGUGAAACAGGUGGAUGGAUUUGAGCCUGAGAGAUAACAAGCAAGGAGAAUAACUGGGAGCAUUAGGCUUUGGGGUGCCCUCUGCUUGAGCAUGACGGGCACUCAUCCUGUCUGAGGUGAAGGGUGGGUGCUCACGAGGUGCGGGAGGGAAGGGACACCCUGCUUCAGAUGCCCCAGUCAGCGCCGUCCUCCUGGUGACUCCUUAAUUUCACCAUUUAAACACAGCUCCUUUUUCUCUCCUUUCUUACCUUUUUUUGAAUGGGUUGUCUUUCUUUGCUUGCUUGCUUGCUUUUCUUAUUCCAUUUCCCCCUCUUUCCUGGCUGGGAAGUUGUACCCUCAAUUUCUACCUUUUUUUUAGUAUUUGUCCUUGAAACUUUAACAUGUAUGCUUAACUUACCAAAGUACAAAUUUAAUCGUAUCUUAAUUCCUUUCCUGUCAAUGUGAGGACAUUGGACCUCCUUAACUCAGAUCCCCCUACCCUUACUUCUAAGCUAUUGUUGAAUGUCUUAAUGCCAUUUUUUACCCUAAAAAUUAGAAAUUGUUAUGAUUUUACACAAUUAGUGUUCAUACGUACUUCCCUGUUUACCAAUUUCUUUACUCACAGGCCUUUCCAGACUCAUCUUUUCUUCUUAGGUUGUCCUUCCUCGAGUGCAGGUCCUUUUGGUGGUCAUCUCCGUCUGUCUGGUCAUUUCUCCUGUUUUCUUGACAGUUUACUGGUGAGGUCCUUCUAGGCUGGUGGUUAUUUUGUCUCAGCAGAGAUUUUCCAGCCCUCUCCUGGCUUCCUAUGUAGUUCUAGGCAAGUUGGCUAUUGGUCUAAUCGUCAUGACUUGUAACCAAGAUGUCCUUCUUCUCUGGCUGCUUUUGGGAUCAUCUCUGUCUUUCUUGUUUUGUGGUUUUACUACAGUAUGUCUAGAUGGAGAUUUCUCUUCAUUUAUCUAUGCGCUUCUUAUCUGUGUAUUGUCUCAUGAAUUUUACAGCAUCUCAGCGGCUAUGUCCUUACAUUUUCUCUAUUAUUUCCUUUCGAAUUGGACACAUGUUAGACCGUCUCAUUCUAUCUUCCCUCUCUCUUUGCUUUCAUUUUUUUCUGUUUCAUGCCUCUAUGUGCUUAAUGGCGGGUAAUUUCCUUGGCUCUGUCUUCUCCCCGAUUGUGGCUUCUUUUCUCAAUGUAUCUAAUCUUCUGUUUGGCCAGCUUAUUGUUUUUAAUUUUAAUAAUAUUUAAUAAUAUUUUAAUUUUAAUAAUAAUAAUAUUUAAUAAUAUUGUUUUUAAUUUUAAUAAUAUUUCCAUUCUAAGAUUCUCAUAUGAGUCAUUUUUCAAAUCUUCCUGGUGCUGUGUUUCUUUCUCCUUUUCUAAUUCCAUCUUUUCCUUUAAACAUUUUUUACGGGGUCAUUUUGUCCCCAGUGGUUCCGGUAGCUGGAGCCCUUCGGGAUGUAUUCUGUGGUGUGUUGUUUCUCCUGAUUCCACCCAUGUUCAUUUAUUUCCCUCUUUAUUUGUUCAUUUUUAAUGGAGGGAUAAUAUUUGAUUGAACUUAAUUUGUUCCUCCAGAGAAUUGUGCUUUCUUGGGCAUUGUGUCAUGCUGCUGCCAACCUGGCACUACUUCGUUUUACUUUUUUUUUUACUUUCACAGAUCUGAAGGGGGAGCGGGAGGGAAUAAGGACGGAGAGGAGACCAGUCUCUCCGGAACACCGGGUGCACUAGGGCGGGUCCCUCUGCCCUGUAAGAGUUGGGUGGUGGGCAUUUACCCGUGUGAGCACCGUGCCCUCACAGGCUGUUGGCACUUGGGGAGCAAGGGCAGAGGGGAAAAUGAGGAAGGGAGUCUGGAGACCUUACAUGCUGAGUUGGGUUUGUUUUUCAGAAGGAGGGAGGAUGCUGUGAGCUGCAAAUUAGUUCGGGGAGCAGGUCACCCUGAGCAGCCGUGGAGGGCUGUGAAAGAGGCACAGGUGGCAGGGCACCAGUGCGGGACUCGAGGGCUUUGGCAGUGAGUGUGCCGGCUGCUAGGAGCCACAGGCUGUUCUAGAGGAGAGGAGGGUUGCAGCCCAAGUGGCACUGGAUUGGGGAAGGGGGUCCUACACACAUUGGUCAGAAGACAAUCACCGUGGAAAGGAGAAAGAGGAGCCAAUGAUAGUACUAAGCUCUGCCCAGAGCGAGUGCUGGUUUCGUCUUCCCUUCUCCCUCCUCCAGGAUGCCUCCUCCAGGAAGCCUGCCGGGAUAGCAGUCUUCUCCACCGGCAGCUCAGAGCCUGGUUGGGCCUGGUCUCCAGGUGGCCUUGGCGUGUGUGUCCCUGGCUCUGGGUCUUACUCAGGACGAGGGGCGAGGGCCGGGGGUCCCUGCGGCCUUGGAGACCCGGGCCGCUGCCCCCAGCGAAUGUUUGAAUUUUUAUGCUAAAGCUGGGUUGCACGAGGGCUGUAAAUGUGACCUCCACAGCAGGGUCAGAUAAGGCCUGUGGAUGCAUGUUUCCAGAAGAACAUACUGUUAUCCACCUUUUCCACCUGGGGUCACGAUGGAGAUAAUCCAAAUUGUGGGGAGCCUUCCUCUGCUGGGGGGUGAAUCAUUUUUCUGUCCUCACCGCUGGAGGCUGAGGUUCGCUCCCUUUCUUUGCACGGUCCAGCUCUGUCUCGGUCCCCGUGCUGGUGGAAGCAGUGACCAUGACCUGCAGGGCCAACCAUUGUUUGUUUUUUGGGUUAUUUUUGGUUUUGUUUUCCAUUUAUUGUUUAUUGACCUGGUUUUAGCUCACUGCUCCUUUUUUUUUUUUUUUUUUUUUGGUGAGGAAGAUUGGCCCUACGUGAACAUCUGUGCCAGUCUUCCUCUCUUUUGUAGGCGGGACACCGCCACAGCGUGGCUUGAUGAGAAGUGCAUAGGUUCACACCAGGGAUGCGAACCCUGGGCCACCAAAUGGGAGCACUUGAACUUAACCACUAUGCCACGGACUGGCACCUCACUGCUCCUAUUGUUUUGCCCCUUGAACCUGAGUGGUUCCCCAUAUGUUCAUUUGAGCUCAGCAAUAAUUUAACUUUCUUCCCAGUUUUAUCGAGAUGUGAGAUAUAAUCGACAUAUAAGAUUGUAUUAGUUUUAGGUGUACAACGUAAUGUUUGACAUAUGUAUGUGGUGCAAAAGGACCACCACAGUAAGUUUAGUUAACAUUGAUCACCUCACCUAGGUACAAAGAUACUUUUCCUUGUCAUGAGAACUUUUAAGCUCAACUUUCUUGGGAAAAAAAAAAGCAUAUAUAUUACACAAAUUUAUUAUAAAUUUUGCUGCUGUAAAUGACGUAUAACCUGUAGUCAUCACACUGUACGUCACAUCCCCAGGACUUACUUGUCUUAUAACUGGAAAUUUGUACCUUUUGACCAACAAUUCCCCUGCCUCUUGCAACCACAAAUAUAAUCUCUGUUUCUAUUACUUUGGGUUUUUUUGGAUUCCACAUAUAAGUGAGAUCAUACAGUAUUUGUCUUUCUCUGUCUGACUUAUUUCACUUAGCAUAAUGCCCUGGAGGUCCAUCCAUGUCGUUGCAAAUGGCAGGAUCGCCUUCUUUUUUAUGCCUGAAUAGUAUUCCACGGUGUACAUAUUCCAUGUCUUAUUUAUCCAGUCAACCACCAGUGGACACUUAGGUUAUUUCUGUGUCUUGGCUGUUGUAAAUAAUUCAGCAGUACUUUAAAUAGUGUUUGUCACAAUUAAUCCAGGAUCUGGUCUUCUCAGGAAGGAGCAAUCCAUCAUCCUAUCAGAAGAGGAAUUCCCACAAGUAUGCUGUUUUAUUAAUCCUUCAUACCCCACUUAAACCCCAAAUUAGUUUGGGUGGCUUACAGACAGUGGCGAGCCAGAGUCAUCCUGUACUGGCUUAUGAGAAAUUUAUAGGAAUCUUGCAAGUCAUUUGUUAAACACAGCCAUUAUUAAAAGUUAAAUUACAUAAACUUACAAUUAAAUAAAUUACAUUAAAAAUAAAGGUAAUAAAUACUCAAACUCAUCACUUCCUAGUCCCGUUUCACUGUUACGUAUACUGUUGAGGUUCUUUGUGUCCAUUGUAUCUGUGUUGUGAAAAUGCUACAGACUGGAGUCCUCUUGUGCAUCUCUUCCCGAUCCGUGUUCAGUGACCUCACGUGGGUAUCCUUAAAUCGGCCACGGCGGGAGUAUUUACACCAUGGAAAUGGGCAAACACUACAGGUCAAGGCUUCAUUGAUCACUUUAUUGAUGUCUAGACUUCACAAAGUGAUGGAUAGAAUGGUAACAGUGCAGAAUAGACUUUAAAGUGUGCCGUGUCUCUAGUAGUUACAUUCUGAGUAGCACAAAAAAUUGGGGAAGUAGUCCGCCGGUAUUUGAAAACAACCAAUUUAGCAAAAAAGUGGCUCACAUCAUUGAGGAAUGAGUGAAGUUCUGACAUAAGACAUAGGUGUUUCUUGUUUCACUUCCUCUUCCUUGUUAAAGUAAAUAAAAGUAUCAACCGACAUUCGUGUCUCAACU
Long non-coding RNA from Equus caballus (horse), 6431 nucleotides. The record is from Ensembl. NCBI's taxonomy places the organism in Eukaryota, Metazoa, Chordata, Mammalia, Perissodactyla, Equidae.